This 407-nucleotide ribosomal RNA is filed under the name uncultured bacterium. RNAcentral describes it as "partial 16S ribosomal RNA". It matches the Rfam family "Bacterial small subunit ribosomal RNA", at positions 30 to 526 of the family's 1533-position model. The record is from RNAcentral.
AUUGAACGCUGGCGGCAUGCCUAACACAUGCAAGUCGAGCGGAGCGGCGGACGGGUGAGUAAUGCCUAGGAAUCUGCCUGGUAGCGGGGGAUAACGUCCUGAAACGGGCGCUAAUACCGCAUACUAUCAGAUGAGCCUAUGUCGGAUUAGCUAGUUGGUGGGGUAAAGGCCUACCAAGGCGACGAUCCGUACCUGGUCUGAGAGGAUGAUCAGGCACACUGGAACUGAGACACGGUCCAGACGCCUACGGGAGGGAGCAGUGGGGAAUAUUGGACAAUGGGGGAAAGCCUGAUCCAGCCAUGCCGCGUGUGUGAAGAAGGUCUUCGGAUUGUAAAGCACUUUAAGGUGGGAGGCGUUACCAGCAGAAUAAGCACCGGCUAACUUCGUGCCAGCAGCCGCGGUAAUUC